UUUGGUGGUGAGAGCGGAAGUGACACACCCGGUCCCAUUCCGAACCCGGUCGUUACGGCUUCCAGCGCCGAUGGUACUGCACCCGAGGGGGUGUGGGAGAGCAGGACACCGCCAAACAUGAA
This 122-nucleotide ribosomal RNA is filed under the name Glycomyces artemisiae. Lineage: Bacteria; Bacillati; Actinomycetota; Actinomycetes; Glycomycetales; Glycomycetaceae. The record is from RNAcentral.